CCACUUUGUGCUGACACAACCAAAACUCACUGUGAGAGGGAGCCGGCAUAUGGAAAUAGACAACACUGGACCCAACCAAAACAUUCCUACACACUGACUGACACUCAUUACAUCAAAUGUGAAAGGCCGUGUUUACACCUGCAUCUGUGUCACGUCGGUGCCGAUACCUGGGUGAAACUGCUAAUGGACCAGAGUCUUGAUGGCACACAGAGCUGCAUUAACCAACAUUGGGCUGCGCCAAAGCCAAAGGAGCCCAUGGAAUGCCACAGGCACCCCAAAUGGAUUCCACAUGUUGUUUGCAUAAUUCCCUCUCCUCACAGUUGACCCUACUGGAAACAAAAGUUCACAGAAAUCCAUGUUGCAUCCGUGUGCAGGUCUGUUGGAGUCAUUUGUGCUGAGGUUGGGGAGACAAAGAGAAAGUCCUUCCUCUAGUUCAAGCUCAGGAACAGUCCAAAAAAAAAAAAAAAA
Long non-coding RNA from Cynoglossus semilaevis (tongue sole), 468 nucleotides. RefSeq lists it as uncharacterized. Lineage: Eukaryota; Metazoa; Chordata; Actinopteri; Pleuronectiformes; Cynoglossidae. The transcript has 2 exons. The record is from RefSeq and is a predicted model, not a curated record.